RNAcentral lists this ribosomal RNA (807 nucleotides) under uncultured Bacillota bacterium. RNAcentral's name for it is "bacterial SSU rRNA". It matches the Rfam family "Bacterial small subunit ribosomal RNA", at positions 541 to 1353 of the family's 1533-position model. The record is from RNAcentral. Lineage: Bacteria; Bacillati; Bacillota.
UUGUCCGGAAUUACUGGGUGUAAAGGGAGCGCAGGCGGGAAGACAAGUUGGAAGUGAAAACCAUGGGCUCAACCCAUGAAUUGCUUUCAAAACUGUUUUUCUUGAGUAGUGCAGAGGUAGAUGGAAUUCCCGGUGUAGCGGUGGAAUGCGUAGAUAUCGGGAGGAACACCAGUGGCGAAGGCGGUCUACUGGGCACCAACUGACGCUGAGGCUCGAAAGCAUGGGUAGCAAACAGGAUUAGAUACCCUGGUAGUCCAUGCCGUAAACGAUGAUUACUAGGUGUUGGGGGAUUGACCCCCUCAGUGCCGCAGUUAACACAAUAAGUAAUCCACCUGGGGAGUACGACCGCAAGGUUGAAACUCAAAGGAAUUGACGGGGGCCCGCACAAGCAGUGGAGUAUGUGGUUUAAUUCGAAGCAACGCGAAGAACCUUACCAGGUCUUGACAUCCGAUGCAUAGCACAGAGAUGUGUGAAAUCCUUCGGGACAUCGAGACAGGUGGUGCAUGGUUGUCGUCAGCUCGUGUCGUGAGAUGUUGGGUUAAGUCCCGCAACGAGCGCAACCCUUAUUGCCAGUUACUACGUUAAGAGGACUCUGGCGAGACUGCCGUUGACAAAACGGAGGAAGGUGGGGAUGACGUCAAAUCAUCAUGCCCUUUAUGACCUGGGCUACACACGUACUACAAUGGCGUUAAACAAAGAGAAGCAAGACCGCGAGGUGGAGCAAAACUCAAAAACAACGUCUCAGUUCAGAUUGCAGGCUGCAACUCGCCUGCAUGAAGUCGGAAUUGCUAGUAAUCGCGGAUCAGC